Molecule: ribosomal RNA, 861 nt
Filed under: uncultured bacterium
Lineage: Bacteria
Description: bacterial SSU rRNA
Rfam family: Bacterial small subunit ribosomal RNA
Source: RNAcentral
GACGAACGCUGGCGGCGUGCUUAACACAUGCAAGUCGAGCGGUAAGGCCUCUUUCGGGGGGUACACGAGCGGCGAACGGGUGAGUAACACGUGGGUGACCUGCCUUCAGCUCUGGGAUAAGCUUGGGAAACUGGGUCUAAUACCGGAUAUGACUGUCUGCCGCAUGGUGGGUGGUGGAAAGUUCUUGGGCUUUGGUCUGGGUUCGGCUGGGGAUGGGCCUGCGGCCUAUCAGCUUGUUGGUGGGGUGAUGGCCUACCAAGGCGACGACGGGUAGCCGGCCUGAGAGGGCGACCGGCCACACUGGGACUGAGACACGGCCCAGACUCCUACGGGAGGCAGCAGUGGGGAAUAUUGCGCAAUGGGCGGAAGCCUGACGCAGCGACGCCGCGUGGGGGAUGACGGCCUUCGGGUUGUAAACCUCUUUCGCCAUCAACGAAGGUUCUGUGGUUGUGAGGCUGCAGGGUUGGCGGUAGGUGGAGAAGAAGCACCGGCCAACUACGUGCCAGCAGCCGCGGUAAUACGUAGGGUGCGAGCGUUGUCCGGAAUUAUUGGGCGUAAAGAGCUCGUAGGCGGUGUGUCGCGUCGGCCGUGAAAACCUGCAGCUUAACUGUGGGCGUGCGGUCGAUACGGGCAUCACUGGAGUUCGGCAGGGGAGACUGGAAUUCCUGGUGUAGCGGUGAAAUGCGCAGAUAUCAGGAGGAACACCGGUGGCGAAGGCGGGUCUCUGGGCCGAUACUGACGCUGAGGAGCGAAAGCGUGGGGAGCGAACAGGAUUAGAUACCCUGGUAGUCCACGCCGUAAACGGUGGGCGCUAGGUGUGGGGACCAUUCCACGGUCUCUGUGCCGCAGCUAACGCAUUAA